Molecule: ribosomal RNA, 248 nt
Filed under: uncultured bacterium
Lineage: Bacteria
Description: partial 16S ribosomal RNA
Rfam family: Bacterial small subunit ribosomal RNA
Source: RNAcentral
CCUACGGGGCGCAGCAGUGAGGAAUAUUGGUCAAUGGCCGAGAGGCUGAACCAGCCAAGUCGCGUGAGGGAAGACGGCCCUACGGGUUGUAAACCUCUUUUGUCGGGGAGCAAAGCGAGUCACGUGUGACUCAUUGGGAGUACUCUAAGAAUAAGCACCGGCUAACUACGUGCCAGCAGCCGCGGUAAUACGUAGGGUGCGAGCGUUAAUCGGAAUUACUGGGCGUAAAGGGUGCGCAGGCGGUUGAG